RNAcentral lists this long non-coding RNA (2949 nucleotides) under Homo sapiens (human). Its description in RNAcentral is "long non-coding RNA NONHSAT195749.1". Lineage: Eukaryota; Metazoa; Chordata; Mammalia; Primates; Hominidae. The record is from RNAcentral.
AAAUGCCUCAGGACUGGAGGUCCUCCCACUCUGCUGAUGUGGGAGACCCCCCACGUGGGGACUGCCAGUAUACCGCUUCCCUUCGGGCUGGCCAGUCCUCAAGUAGAGACACUGAGGUAGGGCAAGCGCAUCUACGGGGAAGAGCGCUGCCUCGGGCGUUAAUGGGAGAGAGAGCUGAGGCAGAAGGGGGAUCGGAACUCCCGCUCCAGAAGCGUGAAGGUGGGGGUGUAUGAGAGCACCCACCCAGAACCUUGCAGGAAAAAGUUGCUUUGCACAUGGGUGACCCCGCAGGCCACAUCAUCCACACAUCCAUACGCCGCCCCGUAGGUAAGGGGUCCGGGCCUCCAGGACAGGAGACUCAGCUCUGGGAGGACGGCCACCAUCUCUGGCUCAGUCACAUUUGGUCCCCAGAUUCUGGCAACCCUGGGUAAAAGCUCAGUCACCUGACCUAGUGACGACCACAAGGGCACUGGGAGGCAUCCCAAGACCCAGCUCACUCCAGGGCUGGACCUCAACCUUGUACCUGCAGUGAACCGGGCAAACAUGGCUUUCCGGACAGCAUCUUUGUAGGAAUCGGCGCCCGACAAACCAUAUGCGCUGCCUUUGGCUCCUAGGCCAGCUCCCUUUAGCCGAACUUGAGCCUGGGAAAGCACAGAGACUGUCAGCUGGGAGGUAGGGUAUGGGCUGCUCCACCUCUCACCAUGCCCACUCCUUACCCAGCAGGACCACCCACCAGGAGACAGAAGAGAGAAAACUGUAUAUGAAGACAAGGAUUUCUCCAGAAGAGACCAGGAGCAAGUAUAAGGACUGGAGGAAUAAAAUGGGCUACGGAACACAGGCAGAUGAAGCAAAUCACCCACCCCUCAAUGCCUGCUCAGCAAGCAUCCACGCCUAGGAAAGGGCCCCAAAGUAUUCCUCUGAAGGUCUGGGAAAGGUAUGGUAAUUACAGGCACACAUUAUACAGGAUAGCUCAAUGUCAGCAGAACUCACAUAAACAGGAUGAACAUGGUCUACAAGAGUCUGACCUAAGCUGUGCUCCCAGGACAGAGCAGGGGCAAUUACGGGUGGAGCUCCUGCCUAGAAGGCCAGUGGGUAGGGGCCUCCGAUCCUGGGAUAUGAUGCCUCAAUGUGGGCUCUGAUCAAUUUAAAGAUUUCUUAUCAUGGGUGAAAACCCUACUAAAUUUUUUUUUUUUUUGAGACAGAGUCGCUGUUGCCCAGGCUGGAGUGCAGUGGCGUGAUCUCGGCUCACUGCAACCUCCUCCUGCCAGGUUCUAGCAAUUCUCCUGCCUCAGCUUCCUGACUAGCUGGGAUUACAGGCACACGCUGCCACGUCCAGUUAAUAUUUUGUAUUUUAGUAGAGACGGGGUUUCACCGUGUUGCCCAGGCUGGUCUCAAACUUCUGGGCUCAGGCAAUCCACCCUCCUCGGCCUCCCAAAGUGCUGGGAUUACAGGUGUGAGCUCAUGCCUGUAAUCUGCCCCUUCAUGCUAAGGUAAAGCUGCUCCUGGCUCCCAGGCUCUAUGAGUGCUCUGAUCUCAUCUCUGGAACCGGCCUGUAAGCCUGGCAAACAUCAAGACCUGACCCCACUGCUUACCUCAAUGGGAGCCGUAAUGCCUUGACACUUUCGUCCCAAGCCAGAGCCUUCCCGCCAGCCCAUGGCCUGCAGCAUCUUGUUGCCAAUGUUACUGUGGUCAAUGCCAUCUUUGGUGGGUUGCUCGUAAUUCCUGCCAGUGGCAAACACACAGUUACUUAAAACAGCCAGGGCCCCAGCUUACGAACUGGAAAAUGUGCACAUCACAUACACAGUGCCGGCAUCAAACUGCUUCUUGCGCUUGGGCUCUGGAGGUUCUGGAAUGCCGUACUUCUCCCGUCUUUCUGCAGCUCGGUCUCGGUAUUUCAUCUACAUGGGAGAAAAAACACUGCUGGAAAUGUUCACAGACUUCAACCUGUAACCGUCUAAUGCACCUAUUCAAAACUAUCCCCUCAAGUAUUUUUAAAUCUGAAGAAUGCUUUUUUUAGACUGCUCUGAAAUACCAAAUUCCCUUGUUCCCAUCAUCAUACCUAGUCAUAUCUGAAAUGUUAAAUUUGUAAAUAUGAAUUGUGUGGAACCAGGGGCAGAACUAUGUCUCCAACAAGCAGUUUUAUUUAAUUAGCCACCCUCUGUCAAGCUACUCAACCAGCCCACUGGGCAGUGGGUACAGCUUGCGAAGAGGAAGGCAGAGUUGCCCGUUCUCCUCAGCAUUUGGACAGGCAUACCUCCAACAUUUGGAAAGGCAUACCUCCAACAUCAAGGAGGCUUCCAGAGACCUGUUCAGCAGUCGCUGGGGAGGUGGAACCAUAGAUAGUAGGGCAGGAAGGGUGUGGGGAGAAGAAAAGCAAAAGCCUUAACUACAAACACUUCAGAAAUAUCUCAGGUGGGAGAUUUCAAACCCACUUGCUCAUUUCUAAACCACAGGCCUCUAUUUGCAUUUAAAUCCCUGCCCACCUGGCCGCCAACCUGCCCCAACCACCAGCACUAACUGCUUGCCCAUUAUUGUGUCACAGGCUUCUCUCUUGCCUUUGUUCCCAGAUCUGCUUGCCAUGCCCUGCCCACCCUUCCUUUCAUAUCACCUGCAAUAACCUCACGUCCUGCUGUCCCUUGGGAUUAAUUUGAAGCGCACUUCUUUGCCCAUGAAGGCUUCCCUGGCCAGGCCAAACUAGACCACUCUCUCCAUAACAAAAUCCAGCGUAUUUAAGCAGCAAGCUCUGGCAUUGCUGUGAGAGAGUCUCGGCAGUGUGCUUCUGCCUUGUGCACCCUUAUGAUGAAGGGACAAUGUGAGGCUCACAAGGCACACAGAGGCUGGGUCUAGGCUACAUGAACUACAAUGGUCAGAUGACAAGGGUAUGACAAAUCCUCCUACCCUGCCCCUGGGAUCUGGAACUAAAUGCUACAAAUAAAAGCUAAAGGCAAU